UCCUGACUGACCGAUAGUGAACCAGUACCGUGAGGGAAAGGCGAAAAGAACCCCGGCGAGGGGAGUGAAAAAGAACCUGAAACCGUGUACGUACAAGCAGUGGGAGCACGCUUAGGCGUGUGACUGCGUACCUUUUGUAUAAUGGGUCAGCGACUUAUAUUCUGUAGCAAGGUUAACCGAAUAGGGGAGCCGAAGGGAAACCGAGUCUUAACUGGGCGUUAAGUUGCAGGGUAUAGACCCGAAACCCGGUGAUCUAGCCAUGGGCAGGUUGAAGGUUGGGUAACACUAACUGGAGGACCGAACCGACUAAUGUUGAAAAAUUAGCGGAUGACUUGUGGCUGGGGGUGAAAGGCCAAUCAAACCGGGAGAUAGCUGGUUCUCCCCGAAAGCUAUUUAGGUAGCGCCUCGUGAAUUCAUCUCCGGGGGUAGAGCACUGUUUCGGCAAGGGGGUCAUCCCGACUUACC
This 465-nucleotide ribosomal RNA is filed under the name Escherichia coli. RNAcentral describes it as "partial 23S ribosomal RNA". It matches the Rfam family "Bacterial large subunit ribosomal RNA", at positions 474 to 940 of the family's 2925-position model. Lineage: Bacteria; Pseudomonadati; Pseudomonadota; Gammaproteobacteria; Enterobacterales; Enterobacteriaceae. The record is from RNAcentral. RNAcentral also lists the same sequence under 1 other name.